CUGGCUCAGGAUGAACGCUGGCGGCGUGCCUAAUACAUGCAAGUCGAGCGAAUGGAUUAAGAGCUUGCUCUUAUGAAGUUAGCGGCGGACGGGUGAGUAACACGUGGGUAACCUGCCCAUAAGACUGGGAUAACUCCGGGAAACCGGGGCUAAUACCGGAUAAUAUUUUGAACUGCAUAGUUCGAAAUUGAAAGGCGGCUUCGGCUGUCACUUAUGGAUGGACCCGCGUCGCAUUAGCUAGUUGGUGAGGUAACGGCUCACCAAGGCAACGAUGCGUAGCCGACCUGAGAGGGUGAUCGGCCACACUGGGACUGAGACACGGCCCAGACUCCUACGGGAGGCAGCAGUAGGGAAUCUUCCGCAAUGGACGAAAGUCUGACGGAGCAACGCCGCGUGAGUGAUGAAGGCUUUCGGGUCGUAAAACUCUGUUGUUAGGGAAGAACAAGUGCUAGUUGAAUAAGCUGGCACCUGA
This 472-nucleotide ribosomal RNA is filed under the name Bacillus sp. R-46263. RNAcentral's name for it is "bacterial SSU rRNA". It matches the Rfam family "Bacterial small subunit ribosomal RNA", at positions 19 to 482 of the family's 1533-position model. The record is from RNAcentral. Lineage: Bacteria; Bacillati; Bacillota; Bacilli; Caryophanales; Bacillaceae.